RNAcentral lists this ribosomal RNA (478 nucleotides) under uncultured bacterium. RNAcentral describes it as "partial 16S ribosomal RNA". It matches the Rfam family "Bacterial small subunit ribosomal RNA", at positions 28 to 507 of the family's 1533-position model. The record is from RNAcentral.
GAUGAACGCUAGCGGCAGGCCUAACACAUGCAAGUCGAGGGAGAAGCCCUUUCGGGGGCAGAAACCGGCGCACGGGUGCGUAACGCGUAUGCAACCUACCUUUCACAGGGGGAUAGCCCGAAGAAAUUUGGAUUAAUACCCCAUAAUAUUAUUGGAUGGCAUCAUUUGAUAAUUAAAACUGCGGUGGUGAAAGAUGGGCAUGCGUCCUAUUAGCUAGUUGGAGUGGUAACGGCACCCCAAGGCUACGAUAGGUAGGGGUCCUGAGAGGGAGAUCCCCCACACUGGUAAUGAGACAGGGACCAGACUCCUACGGGAGGCAGCAGUGAGGAAUAUUGGGCAAUGGUCGGAAGACUGAACCAGCCAUGCCGCGUGCAGGAAGAAUGCCUUAUGGGUUGUAAACUGCUUUUAUAUGGGAAGAAUAAGGCGUACGUGUACGUUGAUGACGGUACCAUAUGAAUAAGCAUCGGCUAACUCCGUG